CCCACGAAGAACUCGCGUUGGCCCGCAAGCGCCGCGCAGCCCUGGUUCCCGCCCGCGCCUCUCCCUCCACACCUCCCCGCAAGCUGAGGGAGCCAGCUCCGGCCUUGGCCACCCCAGAAAGGGGCUCCCACGGUGCAGCGGCGGGCUGAAGGGCUCCUCAAGUGUGGCCAGAGUGGGCUCCAAGGCCGAGGAGGCGCCCAGAGCGAGCGAGGGCUGGAGGGCUGCCAGCAGGCUGUCACCUCUCAGAAUGAACUUUUAUUAAGAGACUUGGCCAUCAACCUGGCUUCCAUACUAGUUCUUCUUAAUGCCUCCUGCAUCAUUUCCAAGGGUUAUACCUGUGCUCAGCAGGAUGAGUAUGGAGAAACAGAUCUCAGGAGGAAGCUGCUAUGAACCUGGC
Molecule: long non-coding RNA, 397 nt
Filed under: Homo sapiens (human)
Lineage: Eukaryota; Metazoa; Chordata; Mammalia; Primates; Hominidae
Description: HSALNT0252801
Source: RNAcentral